UUACUGAAAAUAGUCGUUAAGUAGUUAAGGGGUGCCGUUAAAUUUUAAUUAAUUAUCUUAGUAAAUGAUAAGUUUAAUUCUUGUUUAUUUUUCUGCUAAUCACAAGCAUUCUAUGAGAGGUAUUCCGUGAGUUUUGUAAAAUUGAUUUUUAGUGUUGUAAUUCUCAGUGUAGAAAAUUAGGUUAUUAAUUAACGUUUAAUUUAGUUAUGUGAAAAGUGCGGGUUAAGAUUGUGCCAGCAGCCGCGGUUAGACUGAUAGCACGGGUAGAAAAAUUUUAGUUAGUAGUUAAAAUGUGGUUUCGUAAAAUUUAAAUUUGAAAGUUGGAGUGGAAAUUAUCUCUUUAUAUCAUUAGUAUUUAAAGAAACUUUUUUUGAAGCUGUGAAGAUCUAGGUGCAAAAUAGGAUUAGAUACCCUAGUAUGCUUGAUUGAAAAUUGUAAUACUUGAUUAGUAAUUAGUUAUGUUCUCGAAAUUUAAAGAAUUUGGCGGCCCUUCAGUCCAGUUAGAGGAACCUGUCCUGUGAACGAUAAACCACGAAUUAUCUUACUUUUUCUUGCUUGUGUCAAUUGGUAUACCGUCAUUAUUAGAUAAUUUAAAAAUAAAUUAAUUUUAAUAGAGUUAUUUUCUAAUAUAUUAGAUCAGGGUGCUGUCGAUGUAAAAGUAGAGAUGGGUUACAAUAAUAUUUAAUUAUAUGGAUGCAAAUUUGAAAUUUUUGUUGAAGGCGGAUUUAAUAGUAGUAAGUUUGUAGUUAGUACUUACGAUAGUGGUUCUGAAGUGUGUACAAAUCGCCCGUCGCUCUCACUAUCAAUGUGAGAUAAGUCGUAACAAGGUAGGUGUGCUGGAAAGUGUACCUAGUAUUAAUA
RNAcentral lists this non-coding RNA (861 nucleotides) under Neocaridina denticulata sinensis. Lineage: Eukaryota; Metazoa; Arthropoda; Malacostraca; Decapoda; Atyidae. The record is from RNAcentral.